Molecule: ribosomal RNA, 425 nt
Filed under: uncultured bacterium
Lineage: Bacteria
Description: bacterial SSU rRNA
Rfam family: Bacterial small subunit ribosomal RNA
Source: RNAcentral
GGGGAAUUUUGGACAAUGGGGGGAACCCUGAUCCAGCAACGCCGCGUGAAUGAAGAAGGCCUUCGGGUUGUAAAGUUCUUUUGUCGCAGAGCAAAAGGUAGGUGCUAAUAUCACCUGCUGAUGAGAGUAUGCGAAGAAUAAGCACCGGCUAACUACGUGCCAGCAGCCGCGGUAAUACGUAGGGUGCGAGCGUUAAUCGGAAUUACUGGGCGUAAAGGGUGCGCAGGCGGAUGUUUAAGUUAGAAGUGAAAUCCCCGGGCUUAACCUGGGAAUUGCUUUUAAGACUAGGCAUCUAGAGUUUGUCAGAGGGGGGUGGAAUUCCAAGUGUAGCAGUGAAAUGCGUAGAGAUUUGGAGGAACACCAAUGGCGAAGGCAGCCCCCUGGGAUAAAACUGACGCUCAUGCACGAAAGCGUGGGUAGCAAAC